RNAcentral lists this long non-coding RNA (30689 nucleotides) under Populus tremula. RNAcentral describes it as "long non-coding RNA (PTRE_LNC002111)". Lineage: Eukaryota; Viridiplantae; Streptophyta; Magnoliopsida; Malpighiales; Salicaceae. The record is from RNAcentral.
ACCACACAAUCAUUGAAACAAAUUAUGAAUCCCAUAGAAAGGUUUUUGAGUGCAUUGUUUCUCUUCCUUGUUUUUCCUUCUUGCUUAUCUAUUGACAUCAUAGCUCCAAACCAAUCAAUCAAAGAUGGAGAUGUUCUGGUCUCUAGUGGACAAAGCUAUGAACUCGGGUUCUUUAGCUCAGGCAUCGUUUCUACUCGUCGUUAUGUGGGAAUUUGGUACCGUAAGGUUUCAGAACGAACUGUUGUAUGGGUGGCAAAUAGAGAUAAUCCUAUCAAUGGUACCUCCGGAGUCCUAACUAUCAACAAACAAGGUAACCUUGUAAUUUAUGAAAACAACCGAAGUAGUGUUCCUGUUUGGUCUUCAAAUGUUCCAGCCUCAAUAUCAAUGACAAAUUGCACGGCUCAGCUCCUGGAUUCAGGAAACUUGGUCUUGGUUCAACAGGAUAGCAAAGGGAUCUUGUGGCAGAGUUUUGAUCAUGGUACAGAUACUCUGCUUCCUGGUAUGAAGCUUGGGCUGGACCUGAAAAUUGGUUUGAACCGGUCUCUGUCAUCUUGGAAGUCCAAAGAUGACCCGGGAACCGGAACCAUUUUCUAUGGUAUUGAUCCAAGUGGGUUUCCCCAGUUGUUCCUAUACAAGGGUCAAAUCCCAUGGUGGCGUGGCGGACCAUGGACUGGACUAAGAUGGAGCGGAGUACCCGAAAUGACCCCUACCUACAUCUUCAAUGUUACUUUCGUUAACAGCGUUGAUGAGGUAUCUAUAUUCUAUACUAUGAAUAAUCCCUCCAUCAUUUCAAGAAUGGUGGUGAACGAAUCAGGAGUAGUGCAACGGCUGUCGUGGAACGACCGUCAUCAACAAUGGAUCGGAGUUUGGUCCGCCCCAAAAGAACCAUGUGACACCUAUGGCCAAUGUGGUCCAAAUAGUAACUGUGACCCGUAUCAAGCAAAUAAUUUCAUAUGCAAAUGUCUACCCGGAUUCGAACCCAAGUCAUCCCAAGAAUGGUACCUAAGAGACGGGUCAGGAGGUUGUGUCAGGAAACCUAACGUGUCCACGUGUCGCGGCGGAGAAGGGUUCGUCAAGUUGGCUCGAGUGAAGGUGCCGGAUACAUCAAUGGCGAGUGCGAACAUGAAUUUGAGAUUGAAAGAAUGUGAGCAAGAGUGCUUGAGGAAUUGUUCUUGUACAGCUUAUGCUAGUGCUGACGAAAGAGGACUUGGGUGCUUGAGAUGGUAUGGUGAUCUGGUGGAUACAAGAACGUUUUCAGAUGUGGGGCAAGAGAUUUACAUCCGUGUGGAUAGAGCUGAAUUAGGUACAUGUCCAAUUCUACUACUAACUUGUUUACUUUUCCUUUGUUCACUUGCUAUGCUACACGUUUUGAUUCUUGAAGAAAUCUCAUAGACCUGAUAAAUCACAAGUAAUCAUUUUGCUUAUAAUUUAUUAGAAGUAAUUGACUAUUUGUAAAAAUGAUUCCAUUAAGCUUAAGUGCACAAAUAAACUAGGAUUGAUGGCAUAGAAGUAAUAAACUAAUUGUAAAAAUGUUUCUCCAAUUAUAUGAAAGAUAGCUUCCUGAGCAAUGUUUUUUUAUUAAUCAGCACGUAAUUUAUGAAUAGAAUGUUUGAUAAGGCCGGUAGGUCAAUAAAAGUGUUGACACGAAAUCCAUUGAUUAUUCAAUUAAUUUUCAUCAACUCAAUGAACUCGGAAUUGAUUGUUUUGAUUAAGUGAUCAUAUUAUUAUUUACUAGUAUAAUGAAUCGAGUAGUUUUGUCACAAACAUGCCUAUAUUGCUGCUCAUAGAAAUGACUAAAACAUUUUUUAACUUUCCUUCUAAGAAUAUAUAUUAAAAAAUAAAAAAUAUACUAAAACCUUUUUCACAGUAAUCCAUUGUGAAUUUCUUUUCUAAUCAUUAUUUUUUUUUUCUCUUUGUGGCAAACUUAACUACCAAUUUCUUAUAAUUUGUUAUGGAGAAACACAGUUGAAAGAUGGAGGCCAAAGUAUAAAAUAAGAAAAAAUUACAUGUUUGGAUUGAAACUCACACAAGUAAGUGUGUUUAGGUACCUAUACUUUUUUUUUUUGAAUUAUAGUCCCUUUAUUUUCUUAUGAUUUCGUUUUAAUAAAAAACUCUAUUUUUAUUAUUUUUAAAUCCCUAGUUUUGAGAGAUUAGAAAGAAAGUUGUUGGAAAACAACCAAAAAAAAAAAAGUUGUUUGUUAUUUAUAUUUCAGCCACUAAAAAGAUGAUGUUUUAUGUCAACGAGUUUUAUUAGAUUAUGAGAGUUUCAUUUAUGUGUAUUUUCCCUUUAUUUUACUUAAAGAAUUAGAUUGGAGUUCAGAUAAUUUUUUCUUUCAAUUUGAUUUUGUAUUUUUGACAAGCUUUUCGGCGUUUUGAGUGGAGUAGUUGGUUUAUUGAUAUUAUAGGAAUGUUUAUUAUUUUUUUGUAAGUGAAAAUUGGUUGAAAAUCAUAUUUUUAAAUAAAAAAAAGACCAGCUUGAUUUUUCAAUUAUCUGUUUGUUGGUUGAAAACUCGCAUUAAAAAAACAGAUAACCUUACUUUUCUAGCAACAUCAAUAACUAGAUUUUGAAAUUUUUAAAUGACCGUGUCGUUUAUUUUAUUUCAAAUAAAAAGGGUUGGAUGACUAAAUCUUUUCUAAUAUGAUUUUUUAAGAAGAUUAGACAGAAAAGCUCUUAAUAAUCUCUGAUCAGUUCCUCUCUUUCUCUGCUAGUAAACAUGUUCCUAAGUUUUUCCUCAAUUUCUCAACAAAAUCCUAACAAAAAGGGCACAUUCAAAAAGUUAUAUUGUUUAGAGAGCAAAAGUUUUUUUAAGAAAAAAAUUAGUUCAAUUGUAUUUGUUUUUUUUUCACUAGACUUGGGGGGUAAUUUAUAAUUUAGCGAUAUAUUUUCUGAUUUCUACUCCCUUUUCUUGCUUGACGCCAUUCCUCUUCUCUAGUGUUGCCUUUUCUCUUAAUAGACUAGGCGUCUUUCUUUAGCUUUAGUUUCUUUUUUAUUUAAAUAUAAAUUAAUUACAAUAGAUUAAUCCAAUGUAUGUGUGGGAUAUGACAAUUCGGUUUAAUUGAGAUUAAUUAAAUAAAUAUUUGUGAUGUUUUGUAAUAAAAUAUUAUUUAAUUUUUACUUGGUAUCCGAAUAAAAUUAUAAUUUUUUUUUUCUGAUAUUAGUAAGUAUUUUUUUUGUGAAACCUUAUAAUAUAUAUAUAUUUCAGUUUUAUUCAAUUAUUUUUAUAUGCUUGUUUACUUUUAUUAUUGUUUAAAAAAAAAAUCAGUUCAAAGAAACAAAUUCGUUGAAGCAACUAGAUCCAUAGUCCAUGUUUCAAUAUCAGAUAUCUUGAAUUACAUCUAUAUUUUAAUUUUUUAAUUUAGUCUUUGAUUAAAUAUUUUUUGAUAUUUUGCUUAGUUUUAAAAUAAAAUUAUAACAUUUUUUCAAUAUUAGUAUUUGUUUUUGUGUAACCCUACAAAGUCUCUUUUUUUUUUCUUCGAUAUUAUUCAAUCACUUUCAAAUACACAUUUGUUUUUAUUAUCGUUUGAUAAAAUAAAAAAUUAAUUUCAAGAAAUAAAAUUAUUAAACAUGAUGAAGUUCAUGGACUCUAAUAUAAGAUUAAUAUCUUUAUCUAUUUUCAUUUCUUAAUUUUUCAGUUCAAUUUUUAGUUUUUAUUAAUGAUUUGUUUAUUUUUUGUGUUUAUUAUCAUAAAUAAUUCUUAAUUUAUUUAAUUAAAUAUAUAUAUGCAUCAGUUUUUUAAUUUACAAUUAAAAAAAAAAAUAUAUCAUAAAUAUGUUUCAAACGUCUAUAUAUUCGUGUUUUUGCAUAAAAAAAUAAUAAUUUGACCAUGGCAAAGCAAGUCAAGUGGCUCGUUUCCUACUAAUUGUACUUGUCUUCAAGAUCCAUGCACCGCAUCGGCGACCAUGUUUAUCAUAAUUUCUUGUCUUGUAUAUAUAGUAUAGUCCAGUCUCAUCUACUCAGACAAACUUAAAAAUUAAAUUUAGUUUACUUAAGUCUCAAGCUCGUAUGAUCCUACGAAGGAGAUAGAAACAACAAAUCAUAGUAAAUAAAGUUUUUGGGGCGAGCAAAUUAGGUGAUGAAAAUUAUUCAAUACUUGUAGUUUACUCUUUGUUUUUUAAUUUCUCACAUUUAUAUGGUAUUCAAUUAUAUGAAAAAAAAUAAAAUAGAAUAGAGAGUAAUUAAAUAUAAAUUUAUAGUACUGAAUAAUUCCAAAUCAACAGCUUGAAAGAUUUAAUUUUCAACUCUUAUCACUAAACAUUUCUUAUAUUUUCAAUUUCAGCUAAAUAUGAAAAGUCAGGACCUCUUGCCAAUAAAGGAAUUAAAGCAAUCCUGAUAGUGUCUGUUGUUGUGACAUUGUUUCUGAUCAUCUUCCUUGUGUGUUGGUUUGUAAAGAAAAGGAGAAAAGGUAAGCAAAUUCCCUUCAAAUGUUGCUCCUGAGCAAUAUAUUUUUCGUAACAUUAUUAAACUCAGGGUGUUGAGUCAGUAAAAAUGCAAUAUUUCUCAGAGAGUCUUGAGCUCAAAAAAAGAUACCUUGAGUUAGAAGUUUUACCAGCUAGAAAUAAGUUUGCAUGUUGAUGACAGCCAGGGACAGGAAAAGAAGAAACGAAUUUCCGCUAUCAACUUCAAGGUCAAAUUGCUCGAGAAACUUACCAAUUAAGGAAUUUGAGGAAGGUACAACAAGUUCAGAUUUACCACUUUUUGAUCUUAGUGUCAUAGCUGCGGCAACAAAUAAUUUCUCAGAUGCCAACAAGCUUGGAGAGGGUGGUUUUGGCUCAGUGUAUAAGGUAGCCUAGCCUGCCUUGAAGUCCCUCAAACACAUAGCAUCACUUCAGUUUACAUGUUGAACUAUGAGAUUGAUGAAUUUGGAUUGAGAUUUUCAGGGUCUGCUGCAUGAUGGAAAGGAAAUUGCGGUCAAAAGACUAGCAAAGUAUUCUGGACAAGGGAUUAAUGAGUUCAGAAAUGAAGUCGAGCUCAUUGCAAAACUUCAGCACAGGAAUCUUGUGAGGAUAUUAGGUUGUUGCAUCCAAGGAAGAGAGAAGAUGUUGAUCUAUGAAUACUUGCCAAACAAAAGUUUGGACUCUUUUAUUUUCAGUAUGUCAUCAUCGAUCAUUAUGUCAAAUUGUCCCUAUAUUGUGGAUUUUUCAGUUUUUCUCAUUCUAUAGAAGUUGAAAAAUGAUUACAAGCCUGCAUUGAUUUGAUGAGAUUUAUGCUUCUUUGGGUACAGAUGAACCAAGAAGGUCACAGUUAGAUUGGUCUACUCGCCACAACAUUAUUUGUGGGAUUGCUCGAGGAAUUUUAUAUCUUCAUCAGGACUCCAGAUUACGAAUCAUCCACAGAGAUCUUAAGGCAAGCAAUGUUCUACUAGAUGCCUCAAUGAACCCUAAAAUUUCAGAUUUCGGCAUGGCUAGAAUAUUUGGAGUAGACCAAAUUGAAGCCAACACAAACCGUGUUGUUGGAACGUAGUAAGUUUAUCCUUAUUUAAUGAAUUAUAUUAGAAAAUAAUAUAAGAUUAUUUUUAGAAUUUUAUCUAAUAAUUCAAGUUUUUUAGAUAAAUUAAUUUUUCGACAUAAUAUUAGAAUUUUAAUUAUUUUAUCUAAUUAAAUUAAUAAAACUAAGAACUUAUACAAGUUUUAAAUGUUAAAAAAUAAUAUAAAAUUAUUUUUAAAAUCUUAUAAAAUUAUUUUUAUUUAUAUUUUUCUGAACAGCUGACUUUAUUAAGCUCUUCUUUUCCUAUGUUAUUGCAGUGGUUAUAUGUCACCAGAAUAUGCAAUGCAAGGCUUAUUUUCAGUAAAAUCCGAUGUAUAUAGUUUCGGGGUUUUGCUAUUAGAGGUCGUCACUGGGAGAAAAAACAGCCAUUUUUAUGAUGAAAGUAACUCUUCGAACUUGGUUGGAUAUGUAAGUAAUAAGAUCACAUAUACAUAUAUUGCCGAUUUUAAAAUUUCAACUCCAACAUAGCAUACUGAUGUGAAAUUUCUUUAGGUUUGGGAUCUAUGGAGAGAAGGCAGGGCCCUGGAACUAGUGGAUACAUUGAUGGGCGACUCGUAUCCUGAAGAUCAAGUCUUAAGGUGCAUCCAAAUUGGUCUUUUAUGUGUGCAAGAAUCUGCGAUGGACCGACCAUCAAUGUCUGAUGUUGUUUUCAUGUUGAGUAAUGACACAACUCUUCCAUCGCCCAAGCAACCUGCGUUUAUUAUGAAGGAGAGUUACUAUAGUGGAGAUCCAUUAACAAGUGAAGGAUCACAUUCUAUAAAUGAAGUGACAAUCACCAUGCUUGGACCUCGGUAGAGGCUUACAUAUAUCUGACGUUCUACUUUUAUUUGUUAAUAUUAAUGUGUAUUGAUAUUAUGAUAGCUUUUACGAUAAUAUUUUAAAAAUUAGGUUUAAAGUGGAAAUAAAAAAAUAUUAAUUAUAAUGUAUGUUAAUUAACUAAAUAUUUGUACAACUUUAAUAAAAAUAAAAUACAAAUUUAAUCACACCAUAUUGUUAUACCAAGUGGAUCCUAGUAGAAGUAGCAUGGUAGUGAAAUAUUAUUUAUUACAUUUCUAAGCUCUAAGCAUGUGGAACCAAGUAGUGUAGUUAUUCUUUAAUUAACCGACAAUGUAGAUAAAGAUGUUUCAAUAGUCUCCCAAUUUAAAUUAUCUUCAUCAAGAAAGCUAAGUUUUUUACAAAUCUACUCAUUUAAUAAUUUAAUGUUAUCAAGGCCAAUGUGAUCUAAAAUAUCUUGUUUUUUUUUGUUUAAAUUCUUACAAAGUACAAACAUUAAAAAAAAAACAAUAUGAUUGUUAUCAAAUAUAUUAGUGAUAAAUUCAAUUUUUGAAAAUAGUAUAUUUACAAAGUAGUUAUAAAAGGUUUAGACAAGACCUAUUUGCAAUAUUAGGUCAAUAAUCAUGCCAAUUGUAAUAUAUUCUUCCACUGCAUGAAGAACAAAAACAUUCAUUUUCCAUGGAGGGACAAGAUGAGGUAAGGAGAUUAGAUAAUAGGUACAAAAUAACUACAUAGAAAAUUAUAAAGUUGUUAUAAUAAUGAGAAACUUAUUGCAUUAAAGCAUUAUUCCUAAAUAUCCUAGUCGAUAUUCUAUUAAGACUUGAUAUUAAUUAGAGUUAUUGAGACUAAUGUAUCUUAUGUUCCUUCCUUUAUGAAAGGAAGAAGUUGCUCUUAUAAACUGAGGUAUGAGAGAUGUAUAUAACUAAUAUAUAGGUGCUUGUAACAUGACAUAUACACUGAACUGACUUGUAAGAAAAUUUUAUAUAGGGAGAUUACUUAUGUCUAUAGAAAGGUUCACGUGAUAAUUAUGUAAGUGAUCUUUAGACUUGAGAUCACUAAUUUAUAUUAUAUAGAGAGUGUUAUGCUUUGAUCCUAACCACACAUUAUCCUAAUCAAAGAUAACAAAUAGGCAAAUAUUAGGUAUGAGAUAUAGUAUUAAAUGAAGGUAUUUAAGUAAUAAAGAGAGGAUUCAUCACUCUAGGUGAAUUAGAAAAAAUAUUACGUAUGAUCUUAAAUAAUAUUGAUUGUGAAACCUUUGGCCAAGAUAGAAUGAGUUUUGAAAAAAAUUUCAGAAUUUUACUCAAAAAAUUAAUGAUUAUAAUGUUGAGAACUAACAUGAUUUAACAAAGCAGAAUAGUUCAUGUUAUAAUGUCUAAAUCGAAACAUUUAUGAUAAAUUAAUGAAUAAUAAUUACACUGCAACAAUGGUGCAGGGUUCGUCAAGGUGGAAAACGUGAAGGUACCAGAUCCUUCAACUGCCCGUGAGAAUAACAAUUUGGAUCUGAAAGCAUGCAUGUAGCAAUGCUUGAGGAAUUGUUCCUGCACAGCCUACGCAAGUUCAGUUGUGACAAGUAAGAGUGGGUGCUUCUCAUGGUAUGGCAAUUUGCUUGAUACAAGAGUGUUCGCUGAGGGAGGACAGGAUUUAUAUGUCCGUGUGGAUGCGUUUGAGUUAGGUACCUUCAAAUCUUAUUGUCAUUAUAUAUCUUUGCUGCAUUUUUCAACAACAGCUUAAACUUUAAUACAACUUAGAUAGAGGAUUUUCAGAACAAAAAAUAUAGACAUCUGAAAUAAAAAUUACGGGUACAAGUACAACGGAAGUACCAGGGACAUUUCUAAUAUGGCUAAACCCUCCCCUGCACUUACCUACUAUCUUUCUGCAAUAUGCACCCUUACUGAUAAUCCUGAUGAUUUGGUAUCGCGCUAAUGUGGAUUUCUUUCUUUCUCCAGCUCAAUAUGACAAGAAGUCUAGAGGUUUUCUUGCAAAAAAAGGGAUGUUAGCCGGCUUGGUACUCUCUAUAGCUGCUGCGGUUUUCUUUGUCAUUAUGUUCUCAUUCUGGUUGAUAAAAAGGAAGAAGACGGGUAAGAGAUUAUUUUUUCAACUUUGUUACCAAUAUAAGUGGCACCAAAUUAGUUGAACUAAAGAAUUCUAACUUUAAGUCUAUGCAUAUAGGAGAUGAUAGUCUGCAAAAUGCAGUGUAAUCAACAUUAGCACUUGUUAGUACUUUUAAAAGCUGAUUUUGAGUUCUUUCAACGAUAAACACAGCUAAGGGCAGACAACUCAAAUUUCCCUUCAAUAUCCCUUCAACACAGCUAAACAAGCCUCAAUGGCUCUCUAAGUGGAAAGGAAGUUGGUGGAAGUAGAACAAGUGAAUACGUACCAGUCUUCGACAUAGAUAUCAUAUUAGAAGCCACAGAGAGUCGAAUUUCUCCAACAAGCUUGGAUAUGGUGGUUUUGGCUGAGUUUACAAGGUACCUUUCCUUGGACAUGAAAUUAUUUCAGAAUUCUAUGUACUUGUAUCAAAAGUUAACAUGCAUUAAAUAACAUUUUAAUGUUGCAUGAUUAGACCAUGAUACUGGAAAAUCGCAGAGGCUGGUGCCAAAGAAAUUCUAACCAGGGAAGAUGAUGGAAAUGGAUGGAAUUAUGGAUAGAUGAUGGAAAUGGAAAGGUGGAGAUGGAUAGAUGUAGGACAGAUGAUGUUCAAUCCUUUAGAGAUACAGAAAUCACCACUCUAAAGUGAAUGAACAAAGAUUAAACUCAGAAUUGUCAAUAAUACAGUCACGCCCCAAAGAGAUUAGAGUUUAGGAUAGCUCACCACUCCGUGAAUUCCACCAAAGAGAUACAGAACUAAACAUAAACCUAACCAGCUCACUUUGAUUUUGGCUUCACCAUUUCUCUAUAUCUAUUCUAGAUUGUUGAACACUCUUAUUUAUACUUGGGACAAUACGUGCAAGUUAGGAAAACAUCAAACAAGAAAUUCUAAAUCUAAACACUUUUUCCAUCUAGCCGAAGUUGUAGUAGACGCGGGACACAUAUCGAGCAUAAGAAAAAGUCUGGAAGAGUCAAACGUUACGGGGUCAGCCCAAAUUAGAUCUAGAAGAUGAUAUUUCAGAUUAUUCUUAAUUAUAUCUACUUGUUUUCAGAUUCCUUUCUACUUAUAUUCAUGAUUUUUGUUUGACUUGAUUUUAAAAGUAUACUGGUCGAUUUUACAGUCUUUCUCUACGGUUUAGGAUUAUAUUUUUUUAAAGUUUACGAAACCUUAAUUCUCUAUCUUUGCUACAUACUUAAUCAGUAGGUAAGGCUGAUGACAUUUAAGAGAGUUGGAGGGAAGAUUGUCCAGGCUUAUUGAAUGUUUAUUGACAAAACCAGGCGCGGCAUUGCAUGCUGUUAAAUAUCGUAGAAAGAUCACGGUUCUGUUGACAGCAUGCACCCUUGUCAGUAAAACAACCAUAACUCUUGCUAGAAAGCUCCGAAUCUUUCACUGUUCGAUGUGUUUGAAACUAGACACGUAUAUCUUUCUAGGGAUACAUGGCUUGCUCAGUAUUUCUCUUUGUGUUGAUGCAGUUAUACGUUUGAAUUUGAAACUGAAAUCUGGCCCUGUUGCGAGCAUUCUUGGCUUUGUUGAUUUCUUUGGGUUAAGAUCAGGCUCUUUUAGGCUUUGUUCAAAAUCAUCUAAUCCAAAUUUAUUAGUGGAUGUAAUUAUGGGAUUUACUAGGAAUUCUCCCGCAUCAGACCAACUUUGGCAGAAUGUGAUUAGCUUAAGUUGUAUUAACUUGUGAGUUAAACAUGGAAUGUAAUUUCAGGGCAAGCUAGGCAAUGGACAGGAAAUUGCAGUUAAGAGAUUAUCUAAAACUUCAGGGCAAGGGAUGAAGGAGUUUAUGAAUGAAGUAAGGUUGAUAUCUAAACUCCAGCACAGAAAUCUUGUCAAGCUUUUUGGUUGUUGCAUUCAUGAAGAGGAAAAGAUGCUGAUAUAUGAGUAUUUACCAAACAAAAGCUUGGAUUUUUUCAUCUUUGGUAUGGCUCUCUUCAUCCAUUUUUGUUUCUGUGUUCAAAGGGAAGAGUCCCCUGAUUAUACAGCUUCACUUUGAUCAAAUUAAAAUAAAUGAUUUCGGGGCAAACCUUUAAUGUUUAAGUGCAGACGAGACAAAAAGGGUGCUCUUGGAUUGGAGAAAGCGUUUUGAAAUUGUUUCCGGGAUUGCUCGAGGGGUUUUAUACCUUCAUCAAGAUUCAAGACUAAAAAUUAUCCACAGGGAUCUCAAAGCCAGCAAUAUUCUACUAGAUGCUGCAAUGAACCCAAAAAUUUCCGAUUUCGGUAUGGCAAGAAUGUUUAUGGAAGACCAAGUCCAAGGAAAAACCACUCGUGUGGUCGGAACAUAGUAAGUAACCUGAUUCUUUCCUCUCUCCAGUGAUCCAUCAUGAUCAAAUACCAACAAGCUUCAUCUUUUAUGAUUGUAGCGGCUACAUGUCACCUGAGUACGCAAUUCAGGGACAGUAUUCGAUAAAGUCAGAUGUCUUCAGCUAUGGUGUCUUAACACUGGAGAUCACAAGUGGCAGGAAAAAUAGCGACUACGGUGAGAGAGAACCCUGGCUGAAUCUUAUCGGACAUGUAAGCGGAUCGAUAAAUUUCUUGAUAAUAUCUUAGGUGAUUGUCUUCCUCUUAGAUUCUUUUCUCGAUUAUCUUCUUACUUGUUUCAUGUAUGGGACUUAUGGAGAGAAGAAAAGGCAUUAGACAUAGUUGGUCCAAUGCUGGAACAGUCAUGCCCUCUUCAUGAAGUUCUUAGAUGCAUUCAGAUUGGGUUACUGAUAGGUCCCAACACAGAUAAUGAAGUGUUUAAUAAAAAUAAUGCAUUGCUUUCUCUUCAGGUGAGAAUAAACCUUUGUUCUGAAAUUAAUUGAUUACCACUAAUGACAACUGUGGUUGCUUAAAUAGCAAGACCACGUACUCAUAGACUGAAAUAUAAUUGCAUGAAAUAAAAGUAACUAAGAUAGUGCCAGUUCUGUCAUCACAUUUGCACGUCACAUUUGCACGUAAUGUUUCCCACGUAUUAUAUUCAACUGCCAACCAGCAUUCCCCACUCUGAACUCUGGACGUCAUGGCCUGUAUGCACGAUUAAUUACGUGCUGUAAACAUCUUGAAGUAUUUGGCAUUUGGCUUAAGUCCUCUCUUUGAACGACGUGGUCUAUCAAUACCGCCCCCAAUAAGUGGAACCUUGUCCUCAAGGUUCAGAGCCGGAAAUUUCUCCUGUAACAGAGCAGUGGGCUCCCACGUGGCAUCGUCAACAGGCAAAUUUUUCCAUUGAACUAAGCUUUCCGCUACAAGAUGACGUCCCUGUUUGUGCCAGCGAGAAUCCAACAUAGAUUGCGGUUCAAGAAGCAGCUCACCCGCAUCGGUAAUAGGUGGAAUGUCAACUGAUCGUGGUUCAAAAAUGUUGGCUGUAUUCUGGUAGCGCUUUAACAGUGAAACAUGAAACACUGGAUGAAUGCGUGCUUCGGAUGGUAACUGUAAACGAUAGGCGACCUGUCCGAUUUUUUCAACAAUUUGAUAUGGUCCGUAAUAACGAGUAGCCAGCUUGUGAUGGACCCGUUUGAAGACUGACUGUUGGCGAUAUGGAUGCAGUUUGAGAAGCACCCAAUCACCGGCAUGAAAGAUGACAUCCCUCCUCUUUGUGUCAGCAAUCUGUUUCAUGCGAUUCCUCGAUCUAGCUAAGUUAUCCUUCAAUUGACGAAGUAGAGCAUCGCGGUCCAGGAGCUGUUGGUCAACUGCACUUACUGGCGUCAGACCCUCUUUGUAGACAUGAAUAGCUGGAGGUAGGCGUCCAUACAACGCCUGAAAUGGUGUCAUACCAGUUGAAAUAUGGUACGUGGUAUUAUACCAGUACUCUGCCCAAGGUAAAUAAGAACACCACUGCUUUGGCCACUGAUGAACAAAACAUCGUAAAUACUGCUCCACACACCGAUUAAUGACCUCCGUCUGGCCAUCCGUCUAUGGAUGGUAUGCUGAACUGAGUCGAAGCUUGGUGCCUGACAUUUUAAAAACUCUUGCCAGAAAUGACUGAUGAAAAUAGGAUCCCGAUCACUAACAAUGGAUUGCGGCAUUCCAUGGAGCUUAAUAACGCCAUGAACAAAUUUUUCUGCCAUAGUUUUUGCAGUAAAUGGGUGACGUAAAGUGAGAAAAUGAGCAAACUUACUAAGUCUGUCAACAAUCACCAUGAUGGUGUCCCUGCCAUGCGAUAUUGGCAAUCCUUCAAUAAAAUCCAAGGUGAUAUCAUCCCAAACUUGACAUGGAAUAGGCAGUGGUUGAAGAAGUCCCGCUGGAGCCAAUGUCUCUAUCUUGGUCUUUUGGCAAAUCUCACAUUCUUGGACAUAUGUGUGCACUGCUUCAUACAUGCCAGGCCAAUAGAAUUGUUGGUUGAGCUUUUUAAAUGUACGUAGAACUCCGGAAUGACCGCCCACCUUGGUGUUAUGCAUUUCAUGUAGCAGUGUAGCUCGUAAAUUUGCAUCGUUUGGUACCACGACCCUCCCCUUGUAUAAUAAUAGCCCAUCACGCCAUGUAAAUGCACUGUCAGGUUGAGCAUCAAUUUUAUGACCCAUGGACUGAAUGUAUUGGUCCUGUUGUGAGGCUGUCUUAAUCUCUUGCCAGACACUAACCUGCGAAGUAAAAAUGUGAUGUAAAAUUGGACUCCCUUGUUUUCUGGACAAAGCAUCAGCAGCUGAGUUCUCACGGCCUGUGUUGCUACCCAAUUUUUGACCCAUGUUUUUGAUAUAUUUUCAAAAAAAAUCCAAAAAUAGAGAAAAACAAAGAAAAUCAAAAAAAAUAUGUUUUUUUAAUAUAUUUUCGUAAUUUUAGCAUUUUCAACGUCGUCUAAAAAAGAAUUUAAAUUUUUAAGGGUCUUUCGAACGCGUUCGACUUUUCACGCGUUAUUUUUUAAAAUCAUUGAUUUUCCGUAUUUGAGUCGACGUUGAUAUUGCUCGUUUUCAAAAAAAUACAAAAAAACAAGAAAAAUCAAAAUUUUACAAAAAAAGAAAGUUGACCAAUUUUUGAAAACUUGGCAAUAUUUUUUGCCUAUAAAUACUAGUCUUAAACUCACAUUCAAGGAGGGGUUUUCAUUUUUGCAAGGGGGCUAAUUUUGGAAACACCAGAAAAAUAAAAAAUAAAAAAAAACCUAAACCUAUCUUCUCCCCCCACUUUUUUUCAAACAGUCGCCGGCCCCCCUUAGUCCAAGACCAUUAUUUUUCCAGCUGAAAAUCAGCAACUCAGCCCCCACCCAGGUCUUCUUUUCCUGGUUUUCCACCGACAAUGGAGGCCCCUUCUCACACUGAAAACUUGCCAGCCCGAUGAAUUACUAGGUGGCGACUCCAACGAACAAAUUCAAAGCAAACGCAAAAACAAGAAAAAUUGCCAGCCCGAUGCCGCGCGCCGGAUGGAUUUUUUUUGGGGUGCGACAGGAUGGCGACUCCACUGGGGACAAGUAUUGUUUUCAACUUUAUCGGACUAAGCUUUGUGUUUUGAUGUGUUCAAUUUUUUUUGUGCUUUGUUUUAUUUAUUUGUAUUUUAUUCAUGCAUUGUAAAUAUUUUCUCUCAUGCAUCACAAGUUUUAAUUUUUGAAAGCACACACCAGCUUUAGGUUAGGUGGGGGACUAGCAGCUUGCCUUAUGACUUGAGUCAAGGUUUAAGUUUGUGUAAACCCCAACUCUUUGUUGAGUGCUUAGACUGGUAAUAGUUGGACACGUGCCAACCAAUUACCUACUGGGCCCCUAUAUUGUCUUUACGAAGGCGAUCACUGGGACAACAAGAGACCCUUUUAGAGACCAAGUAGCAAACCUACCCUGUCUCACGUAAAAUGAAUAGAGCCUGCUUUAGGAUGUAUGUGCUAUUGUUUGCAUCGAGCAAACCUUCUUGAAGCAUCUUGAACUCAAGACUUGUGGGUGACACAUUGGCCGUUGCUCCGAAAAUUUUCAUUGUAGAGUUUGGGCAAAAAUCACGAUUCUUGUCCAUCAUACAAGAGUUACGACCAUAUUGUCACCUCUCGAAGGGUGAGUUCAUCAUAUAGAUUACAUGUUCAUACAUUUAUCAUGCAUGUACCGGGUUGAAAGGUAGGUCCCCGCACAAGCUGUGCUGCACGUGAUUGAAGAAAUGAUGGAGGUGAAGAAAGUGUCAGAUAGAGGCUCAUUAUCAGAUUAAGUUGAGAGCAUCAAAGGUGAAGUAGCUAGACUCAGAUCUGCUCGAACAAGUGUUGAGCAUCAAAUGGAAAGAGAAUGUCUGCACAGUCUUCUGUGGGAACACUGCUUGUUCACGUCCAAUUGAAGCUGCUCUCCUUUUCAGUCAUGAACAACAACAACAACGCCUUCAGUCAUCAACUAAUGACAACUCUGGUUCUUGUCCAGUUGCACUGUUAAGUGUUCAUCGCCUCCACAUCAUCUAAUGGAACCAAACGACUACUAGCCUCCUGUACAUGGUGCAUUAGUCUGCUUUGAAGUUACCCCGAUUAUGAGCUCAAUUCCAGUUCAGCAGCACAAGAUGGUCUGAAAAACCAUGAUUGAACACUGAACUUCAAUGUGGCAGAGCUCUCUCUACAAAAAUCCAUUUAUGGCUCUGCAAAUUGGGAAUGCAAGAGGGGAUUUAUAAGUUGCAUAUGCUACAAAUAUUUCUCUCAUCAGUUUCAGCACGAAGACCUCUUAGUAGGUUGAAGAGCCAGACCUGGUCUGAAAAAUAUGAGCAGACAUCAAACUUCAACGUAGCAGAGCUCUCUCAGCAGGAAUCUGUUUGUGGAUCCGCAAGUGGGAAAUCCAAGAAGGAAUACAGUAGUUUCAGAUCAUCUAUGAUUUUCCUCCAACAGUGUCAGUAUUAAAACGCAAAAGUAGAGAGAAGAGACAUGCCUAGACUGAAAAACAUGAAGAAUACUGAAACUUCAACAGAGCAGGACUUCCUCUAUAGGUGUUUGUUUGCUGCACUGUCAGUGAGAAAUCGAAGAGGGGACAAAGGAGUUUUAGAUUCAUCAGGUGCUCUUCCAAUAGAGACAAUGUGUGAUUCCACACGUCGGUAGUGGCGAUACUACAAGUUUCUGGGCGCUGCCAAGAUUACCAAGCUGUUGGAAAGUUUUCUAACAAUCCUCAACCAACCACAACAACAUUGGAAGAUUGAAAUGAUGUUGUGAGGAUUUGCCGAAGAAUUGAACAAGCUAUGAAGAGAGCAAAGAUUGAAGGAUCUGCCAUGGAUUCUAGAACAAUGAUGAGAGGUGAAUCAGGAGAUGACUUGACGGUGUGAACCCUUAAUUAUGUGGUAUAGCCAGGUCUCACGGUAGCAUCAAUUGCUCAAAUGUCUUUGCCAAGAUGGGACAUUCCUCUGCCAUUUAAGUUUGUCGACCAGCAUCUGCCAGAUUCCAGAAUUUUGCUUGACUCCGACAAAUCCAUGCAACCACCAUUUUCUAGGUGGUAUAAUCCAGAUAAGAGAUGUGAUGUCAUGGUGGGGUCCUCAACCAUUUCAAGUGAACAGUUUCAAGAAUUGCAAGAAUUGAGUCUGAAAGUUGGUGAGCAAGAGACAAGUGGAGUCGGUGAAGGAGGGUGUCAUUGGCUAUAUUGUCCCCGAACAUCUUCAGAAUGACAUGUUGAUCGAAAGUGCUUGGCAAAACACAAAUAUUGCCAGAAAAGCUGAUUCAAGAAUGGUGAUGAACAGUCAAUCAUAUUGUUUUGGAAUUCUGCAUUUUGUUUUGGGAUCACAUCUCAUCCUUCAACGAAACAUGCCUUGCUUUUGUCUCUUUGUUGUUUUGAAAUCAACAGAUGUUUAACAUUUUUUCUGACAAAAUAUUUUGAUCAAACUCCAACAUGCGAUAAAGGUUAAUCAAUCCUGAAGAUUAAAAGUGUUUUGAUUACAGAAAUGACUCGAUUUUGUUGAAAUGACAUGAGGUGACCAAACAAUUUUGAACUCAUACCUUUGAAACUGAACCACACAUCAUAUAGCUAAGUUUUAGCAGUAUGCAUAAUGACAUGUAGUGGUUUCGGUAGUUAUGGACUCGUGAAUCAUGACUUACAAGUCCAAAUCAUUACACUAGAUGAGGUCAAAAUUUAUCGGUUCUAACCGACCUUGCUUGAAAUGAGAAAAGGCCAUCUUUGAUAUCCUUCACUUUCUAAAAAUUAUCUCCUUGUAGUCCCAUUUUGAGCUGGAUAGAAUAUUUUUUCAAAAAACCCUGACUAGGAUCACACCCCACACUGGGGGCAAAUGAGAAAUAUUUUGGAGACAUGAUAAAAUCAAUGGAUCAAAGAAAAGCUUAGAACAAAAGUCCAAUGUUUGAGAAAGGGCUAGAAGAAGAAAAUCCAUAGAUUGAGGGCCAUCCAAGAAAAACUUUGAGGAAAUGAAAGAAAAUGCCUAUCAAUUCUAAGAGAGGCAAGACAGUUUUCAAUUGAGAAAAGACAAUAAAUGCCAAAAGUCAACACUAGAAAAAUCGAUGCUUCAUAUCUUUUGGUGUGUCUGGAUAAGCCUCUAAUGUCUUCAAAAUUAGAUUAGUUAUUCAUCAAAGAAAAGUUGGAUUAUGACCUAUGUUAAGAGAAUUCUGAUAUUGAAGAUUAACAAGGUUAUAUGUCACUUUCUCUACAAUGACAACAAGAGAAAGAGAAUCGAUGAAUAGUUAAUGUUGGUCCUAGGUCGUUGAAACCCUCAAACACCUUUUGAGCCUUGAAUUCCUUUCUUUCAUAGCCAUGAACCAUAGCCUGCAUUACGUGCUUUUAAAAGCCCUUUUUAAUCAAGCAAGCAAUUGAACCAUAAAUGGCGCUCUCAAAACUUGAAGAGUUUUUCCAUAAGGGUCGUGACUUCAUGAAUUAAGCUACUGGUUAUUAUGCAUGCUGAUAAAAUAAAUGCUAAGAAAAGAAACAACCUUUCUUAUCAAGCCUGAGCAUCUUGUUUUGAAAUUCAUAAAAAUGUCACCUCAUCACAACCAUCAAAAGAUAUACCCAAAAUCAGAGUUUAAAAUGGACACAAAGAACCAUGGGAAAGACAUUUUAAAUCUUACAACGGGUCAUUUCUGUUUUCAAAAUACAAGACAAUCAAAGGACUGCAUUGAAUAGUGUGUUGGGUCUUUGACCAAAGAAGUUUGAAUUUCAAAAGAAAAAAAUAACUUCAAAAACAGACAUCUCUCUGAUUUCAUUUCAACAAUUAUACUUGAAUAGACAUGAUCGUUGAAAUGUUGAGAUUUGAUUCCAGAACAAGAAAGAUUUUCAAACAAGAACAUCAAUUGAGUUUGCAAAAUUCUUGACAAAAAUGACAUCAACAUUUCUCGACACUCCUUGAAACGUUGACCACCUAGGGGCAAUACAGUGGACCUUAAGAAGGAAAGCAAACAGUAUCCAUAUCAGCUGGGGGCAAAGAAAGAAUCCGAUGAUGAGUCGUCAAAGUUAUGUUUAGCAUCUGACAAUGACAAAGAAAAACCUUCUUGAGUAUAAACCGAUGAAUGAACCUUCAGAUCAUACUGGGGCCAAUGUUGUUCAAAGACAAUCCAUGAUCUAGUGCACUUCAGCAGCAAUUGAUGAGCAACGCUGCACUAGAAAGAUAUUUUCAUAUCUUCAUCUUAGGUUACUUUGUAAAACAUGGAUAUGACUCCGGACAGAUGUUAUCGGGUGAGUGCAUUUGAUGAACAUCGAACAUAUGCAUACCACAAGAUUUACGAUGGGACCAUCUAUUCUGAAGCUCAAAUGCGCACUUCACCGCAUGAAUAUGGGUGAUAACAUGAACAUCAUUGAUGAUGCCAAAGCAGUAUUUUCACGAUCUGAUUUGACAAGCUAAGAGGAAUCCAUAGAGAAAUACAUCGCGCUUACAAUGAUGAGCUGUUUACUGCAAAGCAUGAGAUCCAUGUCUGGAUGACUUGGCAGUUCCAUGAAGGCUGGUGACCAUACAUACUUGAAUGGUGUUUCAACCGAAGGCAAGUUCAUGACUGAUUAACAAACGUGAUGGGUGUUGGCAUGAUGCACACAAUCAAUCAGAGGAUAAUUCUCAGAAGAAUCCAGGAGAGAAAAUCUUCAUGAUGAAUCAAGCAUACACACUUGGGGGCAGGGUCAAGCUUGAUGAACGAUGCAAGCAGUAAUUGUCGAAGACAGCCCGGGAUGGGCACUGCAUUUACAGCUGAGUGGAUGGCUACACAUGAAUGAGCCAAUACAUCGGAAGAACAAAGAAAGCUUUGGGAUACAAACAAGGGCACCCUAUGACGAUGGAGCAUCAAAGAGGGGGACCUAUAUUUCAAAUCAGGUAAGGAUGCAUGCAUAUCAUCUAACCUAAAAAAAAAAAAAAACCAUUUGCACAUAUUUUUGAAUUGUUACAGGAAAAUCCUUAAUGAGGUCCAGCAAGAUGGUGGAAAAGAAAGAAGCAUUGUGGUGAUGAUAAUAAAGAAUCGGUUUUGAUCAUGGAAUAAAAGGACGAUGGGAUGAACCCUACCAUUAGGAAAAUCCCAAAGAAAUGAAUAGAUCAACCUUGCAAUCGGGAAGCCUCGAGUUCUCAACCCUUGCAGUCAGGAAACACCGAGUUUUUUUUUCAAACCCUAUGAUCGGGAAUUAUCAGGGAGCACCAAGUUUUCCAGCCCUUCUUCUAUCAUCCCCUCAGGACUUCGCCAGGUAAGUCCUAUUUUUCACACUUGUCAUAUCACAUUUUUUCCAUCUGGGUAGGUCACCCAUUACAAUGAGACCACACUUCAUAUUUUUCCAUUUCUGGGUAGGUCACCCAUUACAAUGAGACCGCACUUCACAUUCUUUCUAUCUGGGUAGGUCGCCCAUCACAACGAGACCACUUCAUCAUAUUUUUUCCAUCUGGGUAGGUCAUCCAUUACAAUGAGACCGCACUUCAUAUUCUUUCUAUUUGGGUAGGUCGCCCAUCACAACGAGACCACUUCAUCAUAUUUUUUCCAUCUGGGUAGGUCACCCAUUACAAUGAGACCGCACUUCACAUUUUUUCUAUCUGGGUAGGUCGCCCAUCACAACGAGACCACUUCAUCACAUUUUUUCCAUCUGGGUAGGUCACCCAUUACAAUGAGACCACAGUUCACAUUUUUUCCAUCUUGGCUAGGUCACCCAUCACAAUGAGACCAUCAUCUUUUCUGGGUAGGUCACCCAAAGAAUGAGACCAUUCUCCAUUUUUUUUACCUGGGUAGGUCACCCAUAAGAAUGAGGCCAUUCCUCUCCCUGGGUAGGUCACCCAAAGAAUGAGACCACUCUUCCUCUUUCCACUUGGGUAGGUCACCCAUCACAAUGAGACCACCAUUUUUUCUGGGUAGGUCACCCAUUAGAAUGAGACCAUUCUCCAUUUUUUUUUUACCUGGGUAGGUCACCCAUAAGAAUGAGGCCAUUCCUCCCCCUGGGUAGGUCACCCAAAGAAUGAGACCACUCUUCCUUUUUCCACUUGGGUAGGUCACCCAUCACAAUGAGACCACCAUUUUUUCUGGGUAGGUCACCCAUUAGAAUGAGACUAUUCUCCAUCUUUUUUUUUACCUGGGUAGGUCACCCAAAGAAUGAGGCCAUUCUUCCCCCUGGGUAGGUCACCCAAAGAAUGAGACCACUCUUCCACCUUUUCACUUGGGUAGGUCACCCAUUAUAAUGAGACCACUUUUUACAUAUUUUUUUGUUCCAGUUGAAUGAGGUCGCCAGAUGGGAUCUCAUGUAGCUUUGGUUAAAGGGAAUCUCCAUAUGGGAUUUCAGAUUGACCGAGUUACACACAUUCUUUGGUUUUGGUUAAAGGAGGUCGCCAGAUGGGAUCUCAGGAUAAUAAAAAAAAAAGAAAAAAAAAAGGGAAGAUUGCUGAUGAAGUGGAUAUUGAGCAAACAGAAAGACAAGUUUUUCUUUACAAAGCUUACUAUGCAAAACAUCGAGGAUUUUUGCUUCGUAAGCAUUCUAAAGAAGGGGCAUCUGUUGCUACCCAAUUUUUGACCUAUGUUUUUGAAAUAUUUUCAAAAAAAAUCCAAAAAUAGAGAAAAACAAAGAAAAUCAAAAAAAUAUGUUUUUUUAAUAUAUUUUCGUAAUUUUAGCAUUUUCAACGUCGUCUAAAAAAGAAUUUAAAUUUUUAAGGGUCUUUCGAACGCGUUCGACUUUUCACGCGUCAUUUUUUAAAAUCAUUGAUUUUCCGUAUUUGAGUCGACGUUGAUAUUGCUCGUUUUAAAAAAAAUACAAAAAAACAAGAAAAAUCAAAAUUUUACAAAAAAAGAAAGUUGACCAAUUUUUGAAAACUUGGCAAUAUUUUUUGCCUAUAAAUACUGGUCUUAAACCCACAUUCAAGGAGGGGUUUUCAUUUUUGCAAGGGGGCUAAUUUUGGAAAUACCAGAAAAAUAAAAAAUAAAAAAAAACCUAAACCUAUCUUCUCCCCCCACUUUUUUUCAAACAGCCGCCGGCCCCCCUUGGUCCAAGACCAUUAUUUUUCCAGCUGAAAAUCAGCAACUCAGCCCCCACCCAGGUCUUCUUUUCCUGGUUUUCCACCGACAAUGGAGGCCCCUUCUCACACUGAAAACUUGUAUUUCUUCUCAUCCCCAGCUUUGCAAAAGAAAAAAAAAUGAUGGGAGCCAUUUUUCGGGUCCCGGCAGUAGGGGGCAGCACCCACAGUCCCCAGUCCCGUUGGAGAUUUUCUUCUUCUCCCCUACAGCCGCUCACCCAAGGGAGCCCCUUAGCUCUUUGAUUUUCUUCCCCCCCUCAGCAGCCGGUUUUCACUACUCCCCUUCAUCACCAUUUUUUUUUUCCUUCUUCCCCAACACAGCCACACCGCCAGCCCUCUCACCCAAUCUCUCCAACACGCAGCCGCCUACACACAGACCCACCCCCCGGCCAUUUUCGUUUCUCUUCUCCCCAACAACAACCACAAAUCAGCUCCCUCCUCCACAGAUCCUCCCUCUCAGCUGCUCCCUUUGCUCUUCGCAGCUCUUGAGCCGGCCACCCUUGGCCACAAAAGAAAAAGCAGCCGCCACCCGAAGACCAGUCUCCGGUGUCCCUCCUCUUCUGCUCCCAGACCGCCGCUGAUCUCCCCACGACCGAAGAACCCAGCUCAGCCCCACGCCGGACAGAGACCAGCGCCGUCCCCCUUGAUCUCUUCCACAACAACCCGGUCGGCAGCGGAUCCAUCCCAUCGCCACAGUAGCUUCAGCGGCCACGGGCGACCUGCAACCGGCAGAGAACCCCCACAGAGAAGAAGGCGAAACCGAGAGGGGGGGGCAGAUCCAAAACGACGAAGGAAGAAAGAACCAAAAACAGAUUUGAAACCAAAGAAAAAUUUAAAAUCUACUGCUGUUUGUGCGUUGUUUCCCUUGUUGUAGGUGGCGGUGACCUCCACCGCCGGCGUGGGAAGACGGAGUAGAAGAAGACAUCCCGGACCCCUGUUCUUUUUUUUGUUUCUCACGGCGGCGCGUGAACCCACGCACCGCCAGUGGCGGUUGCACGUGGGGAGACACGCCGCCAGUGUUGUUCCGUGGUGCAGAUGGGCUUCAAUGCAAUUCUGGAGUUUUUAGGGACCAUUUUGUAAAUUUUAAAGUUUUAAUGUAAUUUUUGUUUAUUUAUUUUAAAUUUGUAAUAGUGAAUGUAAAAGAAAAAGAAGAAAUAAAAGAAAAUAAUAAAAAGAGAUGUGUGCUUGUUUGUAUUUUUAUUUAUGUUAUUAAAUUGUAAAAAUAAAGAAGGAUAAAAAGAAUUAAUUGUUAAUUUAAAUAUCGAUUAAAUAUCUUAAGGAUAAAUAAAAUCAAGUUGUAUUUUCCACGAAAAUGUAAGAACAAGUUUUUUUACAUAUAUUCGGGGAUUCAAUAACUGAUUUAUUCAAGCCUUAGAAUUUAAUUAAUAUUUUAAAUUUUCUUAAAUAUGGUUACAUAUUUCAAGGACAAAUAAAAUCAAGUUGUAUUUUCCAUGAAAAUGUAAGAACAAGUUUUUACAUAUAUUCGGGGAUUUAAUAACUAAUUUAUUCAAGCCUUAGAAUUUAAUUAAUAUUUUAAAUUUUCAAAUCACAUUAGAACACAAUGCAGCUUACCUCAGGUAGGGUGUGUUAGGGGUGCUAAUACCUUCCCUAACCACAACCAGUCCCUUACCCGCGAUCUCUGACAAGACUAGUACAUCAGGUUUCCUAGUAGCCCUCAAUGAAUUACUAGGUGGCGACUCCAACGAACAAAUUCAAAGCAAACGCAAAAACAAGAAUAAUCGCCAGCCCGAUGCCGCGUGCCGGAUGGAUUUUUUUUGGGGUGCGACAGCCUAGACGAUAGAUGAUUUCAUAGUCAUAACCCAUUAGCUUAGCAACCCAUUUCUGCUGUUCUAGAGUAGCUAUCCUCUGUUCUACAAAAUACUUGAGACUACGCUGAUCAGUUUGAAUGUAGAAUUUCUUGCCGAGAAGAUAAGGACGCCACAAUCUGAUAGCUUCCAAAAUUGCCAACAUCUCUUUAGCAUAUGUUGACCAUGAUUUCUUUGUGAUACCGAGGGCCCUGCUCAUGUACGCCAGCGGCUUGCCAAGUUGAGUGAGGACUGCACCUAUGCCAUCUCUAUAAGCAUCGGUGUCAAUGGUAAAUGCUUCGUUGAAAUUAGGCAUGGCCAAUAUGGGAGUAGUUGUCAUGGCCCGCUUGAGAGCAAGGAAAGCGGCUUCAGCUGCAUCAUUCCAUUGAAAUUGAUUCUUUUUGAGCAGAUUGGUAAGAGGCUGAGCAAUAACACCAUAGUUCUGAAUGAAUUUGCGAUAAUAUCUUGUCAAACCAAGAAAACCACGUAAAUCUGAAAACGUUAGUAGGCCGUGACCAUGCCACCAUAGCAGUAAUCUUGCUAUCAUCCACUUUGACACCAUGAUCGGUGAUAAUAUGUCCCAAAUAUUCAAGUUCGUGCUACCCGAAAGCACACUUGCUUUCCUUGACAUAGAACUGAUGCUGGCGUAGUAUUUCAAAUGUCUGUCGGACAUGCAGUAAAUGCUGGUCCCAGGUAGAACUAUAUAUCAAGAUGUCGUAAAAAAAAACCAAAAUAAAUUGACGAAGGUGAUGACGAAAUAUGGAGUUCAUGAUAGCCUAGAACGUAGAGGGCGCAUUACAUAGGCCAAAUGGCAUCACCAAAUAUUAAUAAUGUCCAUUAUGAGUGCGAAAUACAGUUUUAUGGACAUCUUGGGGAUUGACUCGUACCUGAUGAUAACCCGCUCGUAGAUCCAACUUGGUAAAGUAAGAAGCUCCGUAUAAUUCAUCUAACAUAUCCUCAACGGUUGGAAUUGGGAAACGAUCUUUAACAGUGGCAGCAUUGAGAGCUCGAUAAUCAGUACAAAACCUCUAGUUCCCUUCUUUUUUCUUCACUAACAACACAGGUGAUGAAAAGUGACUGGUACUUGGACGAACAAGCCCUGUGGUCAGCAUGUCCUGGACCUGUUUCUCAAUCUCAUUCUUCUGAAAGUGUGCGUACCUGUAUGGCCGAACAUUAACCGGUUCAGUUCCUUCCUUCAACGUGAUUCCAUGGUCAACAACCCUUGUUGGUGGUAAACUAGAAGGAGCAGCAAAUAUAUCUGAAAAUGCUUGCAACAAUUCCUUCAUGUGGGGAUGAACGGUGCCGUCUGAGUAAUUUGAAAACAUAAGGCAAACAAAGCUUGAUUCGGCCGAAGUGUUUGGACAACUCCUGCAGUGAUGUUUCCUGGAUGUCUUGUCUGCCAAUGCCAGUUAAUCGCCUAAGCUUGUUCUCCCAUAAGAAUUCCAUUGUCAGCCUUUUCCAAUCACACAUCACCGAACCCAGUAAUUCAAGCCAUUGAAUCCCCAACACUAUAUCCAGCCCUGUGAGGGGUAAAGAAUAAAGAGUCAAUGAAAAAACAACACCCUGUAGAUUCAAUGAUACCUCGUCAAAUCGCCCCCGACAUUGGAGACUAUCACUAUUGGCAACCUGUACUUUGAAGGGUUCUGUAGGCACCACUGGCAGCCUUAACAGGGUAGCAGUUCGCUCACUAAUGAAGUUGUGAGUAGAACCACUAUCUAUUAAAAUAAUGACGUUGCAGGAGCCAAUCAUAACUGAUACUCGCAUGGUCUUUGGCGCUGUCCAACCUAACAAGGCAUGCAAUGUAAUUGACGGACCUGUAAGCUCCUCAUAUUGCUCAUGAUUUAGGUGUUCGUCAAGAACAUUGUCACAUAACAACGUAUCAGUGUCAUUGCAACCUUCCAACAUAAGUAGGCAUGACCCUUGACACUUGUAACCUGCAGUAAAACGGUCAUUACAAUUGAAACAUAGAUUCUGGGCUCUCCUUCGUUGCAUUUCUUCCCAUGAUAACCGCCUGCUAGGAGUAGUAGGGUUAGACUGUGCGGCUUGGUUGCCAGGCGAAAGAGCCAUAGGUGGCCGCACUGAAGAAACUGGUCUGAUAAACCUCCUCUGACGGGUAAAUUGAUCAUCUUUCAUCCGUGCUAAGCUGAUGGCGUCUUUUAAAGUUUGUGGUUUGAACAUGCGAAUCCCAUCAGAAAUGUCUCUUUUUAAUCCACCCAUAAAUGUUCCCAUAAGAGCUUUUUGGGUCCAACCACGUACAUGAUUGCCAAGACGUUCAAAUUCACGUUGAUAGUCACGCAGCGAUCCUUCCUGACGGAUCCGUGAAAGAGCUUCAUCAAAAUCUUCACAGUCAGAAGGACCAAAUCGAGCCCAGAGUUCACCUUCAAAAUUAAUCCACGAAAGAACACGUCCUUCCUCUUGAAAUGUCCGGCGAAUCCAUUGCCACCACUGGUUGGCCUCUCCUUCCAAGUGAUAGGAAGCUAACGAUACCUUUUGCAUUUCGGGUGUACUUUGGAACUCAAAGAACUGGUUCACCCUAUUAAACCACUCCGUUGGAUCAUCUCCAGAAAAACAUGGAAAUUCAAGCUUCGCUGUUUUAGAAGAGACAACAAGUCGUCCUCCAGUGUGACCGUCACGAUGGGUGUUACCUUGAUUGGUAGACACGUGAUCUGCAAGGAGUACAUCAGAGAGUCGAGUAAUAGUUUCCUCUAAGUGAUGCAAUUUAUCUGUCAUGCCCAUCUCCAUCCGGUGUUCUAACUGUUCGAUACACUCUUUAUUGGUUCCCAUUGCUCUGAUACCAAUGAUAGGUCCCAACACAUAUAAUGAAGUGUUUAAUAAAAAUAAUGCAUUGCUUUCUCUUCAGGUGAGAAUAAACCUUUGUUCUGAAAUUAAUUGAUUACCACUAAUGACAACUGUGGUUGCUUAAAUAGCAAGACCACGUACACAUAGACUGAAAUAUAAUUGCAUGAAAUAAAAGUAACUAAGAUAGUGCCAGUUCUGUCAUCACAUUCGCACGUCACAUUUGCAUGUAAUGUUUCCCACGUAUUAUAUUCAACUGCCAACCAGCAUUCCCCACUCUGAACUCUGGACGUCGUGGCCUGUAUGCACGAUUAAUUACGUGCUGUAAACAUCUUGAAGUAUUUGGCAUUUGGCUUUAAGGCCUCUCUUUGAACGACGUGGUCUAUCAGUUACUGUGUGUGCAAGAAUUUCCAGAUGAUCGACCUACAAUGUUAGAAGUUGUGUUCAUGUUAGGUAAUGAGAUCACUCUUCCUUCUCCUAAGAAGCCAGCAUUUGUUUUACGAACACGCAGUGGACAAGACUUGCCACCAAUGUCUAGAAGAGAAGCUUGUUCUGUAAAUGAAGUUACAGUUACUGUGGUGGAAGCUCGCUGAAAUCCCAGUCUCUUGUAAUAAAUUUUCUCUAACAGGCAUUACAUAGAAGAUGGUUUGACUCAUCAUGGAUGUAUACAUGGCUUGCAAGCAAAACCAUAAAUAAUAAAAAGGAGAAUUUCAUUAUAUAAAUGGUUUUAGACAGUGCCACGUACGUUCUUGAAAAUUAAAAAACAAAAAAAAAAACAAAAAUCUUGGGAGUAGAUGAGAAUUAAAUGCGAAGUUGAUGCCCAGAAAGAGUUUCAAUAAAGACGCCUGUAGGACGGCCCACCUAGGAAAAUCACUCCAUUGGAAGCGUUCACAGGCUGCAAUUUUACAGAAAUUGAUUGUAAAAUUAUAAAAUCAUAAUUAAGAUUUUUCUUAUUGUGUAUAUCUACGCAUGUAGGAUUUUUUUUUUUUUUAUGUUGACAGCGAGGUUGUAAAAAACAAUUUUGGAUAUUACUAGAAAAAUACAAUACAAAUUCAAAAUCAUAGAUUGUAAAAUUAUAAAAUCAUAAUUAAAUUUUUUUAAUUAAUUAUAUAUUGACAAUUCCUCUAUAUUGUCAUAACAGGCCUUGUGUUGUGGUUUAGGAGAAGGCAUUGGGAGACUACGAUGGGAGAAACUGAGAGAGAGAGGGGUUCUGGUUUGGCUUUCUGAAGAUGAUGAGGGGGUGCUGUUCAUGGGUUUUCGAAGAAAGGUGAAGAAGAAGCUGUUGUUGGUGGUUUGAUAUCACUGGUUUUGUUAUGGUGGAGAUGGUUGAGUCUGAGAAGGGAAAUGGUGGAGUCUGAGAAAUUUUCUGUGUUUUGAUUUAUUUUUUUAUCUGCUUCCAACGCUGAAUAUUUUUUUAUCUGCCCCUGGAAAUCUUUGAUCUGCCUCCCCUCUUCUUCUUUUUUUUUCUUUUUGGUUUUUUCCUGUGAGGAAUGUAUUUAUAGUAAAGAGUUUUAAACAAAUAUUUUUUUUAAAAAAAAAUUAUUUAAAAUUUAAAAUUAAAAGAACUCAAAAUAUUCAGAACCUCAUGCAUCAGAGAGUUUCAGUGCAAGCUCUAGACUAGACCGCUGAUCUCUCAAUGAUCAAGAAGCUUCAUUCUCCGUUGAAUCUCAAUCUCUUAGAAAUUAUCCAUUUAACUUUCAUUUAAAAAUAUUUGCCUUAAAAUGACGCUUACUAGUCAAUUGAAUUUUAUUUUUUUUGUGAUACUGAACUUUUGAGCCCAGAAAUUAAGGCGCUUACUUAGUCGAUCAAUUGAAAAUGACAAUACAAAAUAAAAAUCCCGACUCUACUAGAGGUGGUUACUAAUUCCCCAAAGAAUAAGCUGAUCACUAGCCAUCACCAUGCAUCCCUGUAAAAUCACUAGCCAUCAAUUGAAAGUAAGGCGGCUAGUCAAUUGAAAAUCACUAGCCAUCAUCAUGGCUGAUGCAUCCCUGUAAAAUAUUUCUCAUUUCAUUGCUUGAAUGCCUUCUUCUCCAAAUUUUCCUGUCCACAGACAAUGUUAAGUUUUAAUGAGUCUCCAGAGGAGGAAACUUCCCUUCGGGAUAAUCCUAUCAAUGAUACCUCUGGAGUGCUCAGAGUCAAUGGUCAAGAUAACCUCCUCCUAUACGGCAAAAACACCAAGUUAACUAGUCCUGUCUGGUUCACACAUGCUUCAGUCUCAUCACCCAGCAACUCUAUGGCUCAACUUCUAAAUUCAGGAAACCUUGUUCUGACUCAUUCCAAGAGGCAUCAGUCUCAUGGAAAAGUAUUGAUCAUCCUACCAAUACCAUGCUUCUUUUUGCAACACUUGGACGUUUGGAUAGGAAAACUGGUCAACAGGUUUUUAACAUCUUGGAAGUUCCUAAAUGAUUCAGGAACUAGUGAUUUUGCGAGUAUUUAUUUUUAUUAUCAUAUAAUUAAGUAAGAAAUAGUUUAAAAAACAAAGUUAUUAAAUUUAGUGGAGUCCAUGACUCGGUUCACGGGUUAAGAUGCGAAGCCCAACUCGAUUCAAUAUGUCGGUGUCUCAAAAAACAUUUUAUAAAAUGUCAUCUUGAAAUUUGUUUUAAAGUCAAACCAUGUUUUUACAUGUUAUUUGAGUUGCUUUUGAAUACGUAAAGUCGAUUAGGACAUAUUGAGGCAACUUCCACACAAUUUAAUUUGAAACCCCAGUUAAAAGAAAAGUCGAAUCGAAAGGUUUCAUUGUUGACUCACUAAACUGGAUUUAAUAAUAUUGCUAGAAAUUUUCAUGAGGCUUGAAUAUAUUUUUUACAUUAAAAAAAAAUUGAUCCAAGCAAGCUCAACUAAACAUUCCUAACUAUUAAAAUGAAUCUCUUCAUCAUUUAAAGUCAAAGUAGACAAAUAUGCCUCAAUAGUCUCCCAAUUUAAAUCCUCUUUAUCAAGAAAGCUAAGUUCUUCACAAAUCUACUCAUUCAAUAAUUCAAUAUUAUCAAGGCUAAUGAGAUAUAAAGUAUCUUUUUUUUCAUCUUAAAUUCCUACAAAAUACAAACGUAUAGGAAUCUCUCUCCUAAAAUGGUUUAGAAUAUUUCUCACUUGUGGUUCGUGUGAAAUAAUGUUACAGACCAAACAAUUGGACGGCUUGUGAUUUGCGAUAACUCAGCUUUAAGAAACUUUUUCAAAAUAAAUAAAAAAUAUUUAAUCUUCAGGUAAUCUUCGUAUAAAACCUGAAAAACACUAUAUUUAUCUAACAAAAACUUUGGAACUAUCGAAAAAUCUUAAAUUUAUUAUUUACGCUGCCUGUAUGCGUUUUGGGAAACCCAACACAUUCACCAUUUUCUUGUUGUCUUUGCAUGUCAUUGUGUCAUACAUAUUUGAAAUAGUUAUAGCAAGGAAUUGAAAACUAUUUGGGAAUGUAUAGAAGCCAACUAGGGUGCUAUAUGUGUCGGGAUUGUCUUACAUCGAAUUUGUUUUCAAGAAUCAAUAACAUUUUCGUAUCUCACUAGUGAUUUAACAAACUAAAAAUCGACAAGAUUUUUCUUUUAAUACGCAAUCAGCUCACAAGAGUUGUGCAAACUUGGGACCAAAACAAAUCUCACCAGAAAAAAGCAACUAGCAAGAUAGAUAUCUUUUUGUCACAAAACCAAAAUUAACUUAUAUUUUCUUUUUUGCUUGAUCCAUUGCUUUAUAUAUUAAACUCAUAAUUGGUUUCUUAUAUGAAUCAACUAAUUUAAGAACUUUAAUUAGAGGAUAUGUUGCUUUAAUACAUAUAGUGACAUCAUGCUAGAACCUACUAUCCAAAACAUAGUUUUGAAUUUGUUUCCCUUCUUCAAUUCUUGAAAACCUACAUGACCUUCACUAUUUAGAAGUAAACAUAGGCAUUAGCUGUAUUUUAUGAUCAAUCAAACAUCCUAGAAUCAAAUAUGCAGUAGCAAAUCGAGCAGCAGCAGCCCUAAUCAAAUCCUAUCCUUUUGUAAAGUGCCUUAGGAUGAAAAUAAGUAUAGUACUUGAAUAAAUAUAUGAGGUGACUCUCAUUCGCUUAGCAAUAGUUACUUGAUAAACCUCUAGCUUCUUCUCAAAAAUUUUCAAUGUCAAGUCAAUACAAGAAGCAUCACAUGGUGUCCAAAAUAGCUUUUUUUAUUUUUUCCAAUCAAUAAUUGUCCUGUUGCCUUAUAAUUUGCAGCGUUAUUGGUCAUUACUUACACAACAUUUUCCUAUAUUUAGUUCUAAAAGUGCUGGUUUUGUUAAUUAGAAAGGCCAUAAAAUUUCUUGAAAAUGAAAAUAGUUGGUAAAUUCAAAAUUCAUGAAUCCUUUGAUUUUGUUCUAUUUUAAUUUCUAUUAACCAAUGGCAGAUUGCAUAUUGUAGUGAUGGUUUGUUUAAAAUUUGGAACAUUGGAAAGACUUUAAGAAACAGAGGCUAGGAUGUUAGGUUUUUGAUUUUGUGGUGCAGUUACUGUAUUAUAUAUAUAUAUAACUGGGUUUAAAAUCGUGAUUUUACAUGAUUUUAAAGAUUUAAUAUGAUUUUAUCACUUUUUAAAUUUUAAAAUUGAUUUGAUAUAAUAAAUAUAUUGACUUAUAUAAUUUUACAAGUUAACUCGUAGUAUCGUUAUGGCCUUUCAAGUGGUCAUUUAAUACACGGCUGGCUCCCCUGAGCAACCCUAAUAAUCGGUCAAGAAAAAUUCUAUGAAGCGUUAGUAGUUGGCUUUUUGGCUCCAAUCAUUAAAACCCCAACUGCACUACCAAGUCAUUUACUCACCCCACCAACACACAAUCAUUGAAACAAAUUAUGAAUCCUAUAGAAAGGUUUUUGAGUAUAUUGUUUCUCUUCCUUGUUUUUCCUUCUUGCUUAUCUAUUGACAUCAUAGCUCCAAACCAGUCAAUCAAAGAUGGAGAUGUUCUGGUCUCUAGUGGACAAAGCUAUGAACUCGGGUUCUUUAGCUCAGGCAUCAAUCCUACUCGUCGUUAUGUGGGAAUUUGGUACCAUAGUACUAAGGUUUCAGAACCAACUGUUGUAUGGGUGGCAAAUAGAGAUAAUCCUAUCAAUGGUACCUCCGGAGUCCUAGCUAUCAACAAACAAGGUAACCUUGUAAUUUAUGAAAAUAACCGAAGUAGUGUUCCUGUUUGGUCUUCAAAUGCUCCAGCCUCAAUAUCAAUGACAAAUUGCACGGCUCAGCUCCUGGAUUCAGGAAACUUGGUCUUAGUUCAACAGGAUAGCAAAGGGAUCUUGUGGCAGAGUUUUGAUCAUGGUACAGAUACUCUGCUUCCUGGUAUGAAGGUUGGGCUGGACCUGAAAAUCGGUUUGAACCGGUCUCUGUCAUCUUGGAAGUCCAAAGAUGACCCGGGAACCGGAACCAUUUUUUCUAUGGUAUUGAUCCAAGGGGGUUUCCCCAGUUGUUCCUAUACAAGGGUCAAAUCCCAUGGUGGCGUAGCGGACCAUGGACUGGAC